UUUGACAUUUUGAUGCAGAAAUUUUGAUUUUUCAUUUGAGUUUCAUUGUUGUGAUUUAGCUUGUAAUAUUUGUACUGGCCCUAUUUUUAUUAUUAUUAUUAUAUUUUAUUAUAUAUUAGAAUAUUUUAUUUUCAGUUUUUAAACUUAAGACAUAUAAGAGAAUGUGAAAGUAAAAUUACAAACUCCCUUCCCUUACCCACCCAUAUACAAACUAAAAAGAAAACACAACCAAAAAAAAGAGCCUGAAGUUGAAGUUGAACCCGAGUCCAUGCUUGAAGACUAUAUCCUCUCUAUGUGGGGUGCUCAGCUUUACCACUAGUCAAAACCAGCACCCAAGCUGAUGGUUUUCCUCAUCACUUCUCAGAGUUUCAGUGUCUGUAAUAUUUCUGGUUUCAACCCCUAUGACAGCAUUUUGGUGUGCCGCAGUAAUAUUACAGGAUUGGCUUUAUUGUUUGGCUGACCUGGAAAGUCCCUGACUAUCAGUGAGUUUCAUUUUCUGGCAGUGAAGCUUUUUGGACGAUUGCCUGUUGACGUGUGUCAUAAACACCAAAGGUGGGGUAGAAGUGGUUUGUGGUGUUGUGCUAAAAAGCACCAACUCCCUCUAUCGACAACAGCUACGGCAACCAUCCGUCACCAUUUUGUCAAAACUUAACACGCUGCAUUCACAAAAUGGUGGCUGAAGCCACGUGGUGCGGAAAAGUUUGCAGUUUAAGAAUCAAGAGUGAGAUUUUUCUCUUAUGUUUGUGUUUUGUUUCAUUUUUAAACUCACACGAUGUCAACCUAACCAGAGUGACUAAAACAGAAAUGCACAUCCAUCCAGAGCAAACUGCAAGAGCAGCUCAGCAGCAAAGUCUCUAUUUGGAGUUAGGAUACAGCAGCACAAAGUCUUUAGAUGUCAGGACUUUAUACAUUUAAAAUGAAUUCAAGACGCUUUUCAUGCAAAGACUAAAAGGCAAGAGUACACGGCAUGAUGGGAGUGGAGUUUAAAUUAAAGAAGGAAACGAAUGUGAAGAUCAGAUUGGCUCUCAAAGGUCAACUACAGGCAGACAAGGAAGGUGUGAACUACAUAAUAAAACAUGUUUAUGGUGGAGAAAUGGAAAGCACCGCAAACAUCUUGGAAUUUACACAACAGAAGAUGCCAACGUGAUGCCAAAUUUGGCGCAAUAAUCAAACCUUUACAGAGCCGACUGCAGUCCUUAAAAACACAAACUAAAAAAGUCUUUUAAUGAAACUUUACACGGACUAAAACAUUAGGAUCUUAUUCAUGGAUCCUAUUUCGGUCAAUCAAAGAUUUUGUGCGUAAUGGUGCGACAGGAUACAAAAAAAUAUUUCUUAUCGUUUUUCAAACUCAGACUGCUCAGAGUUUCGGGGUUAAUCAGACACAGUGACUCAUCAGAUCAGCGCACUCGCCCGCCCCCUUCAGUUAUCGCUCGCCACCUUCAGAUCACAAGGUGGGAUGGGCCUAAAUGGAAAAACAAUUGCCAAAAGUGUCCGCCAUCUUACGAGGUGUCCUUCAAAAACAGACACAAAAUGGCGGACAGAGUCUUCUUACAGCGUGUUAUUGGAACUCGAAUGAUGAGAGACUCUGUGGGGUUUGGGUUUUCCGUAUGCUUCCUAAACUUCAAUCUGCACCUAAAAGCACUCUAAGUGCGUUUUUACGGCCAGACGAAUGUGCCGAGAAGCGUUUGCCUAACCAGUUCUGCACCAUGCCACAACAGCACCACGCCACCAAACUGGAAAGUCCCCGCAUAUUCUUCUUUCACUUUCUGUCUUUAUUGUUUUUUUUAGCUCAGUUGGUGCCUGACUCAGCCAAGCUCAACCCUGAAGGUCUUGUGACCGAAAGUAUUCUGCAGCCCUUCUGUUUUUUUCCAUUUAAGGAGCUGAAGGACAGAAUGAGUGAUAAGACAUUUAACUUUGGAUGCACUGUGGGUCAUUACGUAAAAGGAUUUUCAGCUGUUGUUUUAUUAACAUUUAGAAUUAAACAUGUUGAUUUCAUUCAGUAGUUUGGGGAGUUUUGGUUUAAUGACCACACUUGAGAGUUAGAGAAGUCUAUGAACGGUGUUUUUUCACUGACAAAAGCCAAAACAGAGACAAAACAUAAAGAACAAUUAGUGGAUAAAAUCAGAGGUGCUGUGUUUUAAAACUAGAGAAACACAGCUCCUGGACACAACAAACAGUCAAUUUGUCGUGCAUUAAAAUACAUGGGAUAUUUAACAAAAUGUCUUCCCCAUCAGGUGUGAUUUUAGAUUUUGAAAGCGUCGACAGAUUCUGCAGAGUUUUGGUGCUAAAGCCAGAAAAACUCUGUCACCAUAAGUCCUGUUGAGUGUCUGUGAAACAGAUAAUAAAUGCAACAAGGGGUGAGUUUCCUUGAAAGAACGUAUGACUCCAGACUGUAAUCCUGGACCUGGUUCUGCAGGGACCUGUGAAUGAGUGAUGAAGAAACUCUGAUGUUUGUGUUCAUCAAACGUUCCUUUCACCUGACCUGAAAGAAUAUCUUAAAUCAUAGUUUCACAACAGACUUCCUGUAAAUACAUGAGAAGUAAGAAUAAUAAGAGCAGUUUACAGAAUAUUCAGACAUUAAAAAUAUCAUCUCAGUGACAGUGUGGACAUGUAUCAUGACACUGGACAUAUUUAGACUGUUAGUACAGCUAAAUAUCUGUUUUUAUAGUGAGAUGUCUAGUUCUUUUGAUCUUUAGCAAGUCUUUUUUGUCAAGUGAGUCAGUAUAGCUGAUUGUUUUGUGAAAAAGUAGAUAAAUUUAACCAGUUAUUAUAUUUUGAGUAAAAUUUUAAAGUAAUUUUUUGUAUUAAGUCAAUAAAAUGACAAAAACUCAAGUAUUUUAGCACUGAAGUUGUGUUUUUAGUUAAGUACUGGCUGUAAAUAUUGACUCUAGCUCCUGAAAGUCACAUGUGCAACAAACUAUGAAUAAGUAAGAGUAAAAACUUUAGUUGAACUAAUGUUGACCUCUCUGGCCCACUUGAUCUACUGUUUGGCUGUUACAAUAAACAACUCGGUGAAAUUAAACCCCCCAUCAAAAGCGAGUUAUUUCAAGAAGGAAAGUGUAACUACAGGAAAGCGUCUCCGUCGUGAAAAACGUGUUUCUCUUCUCCUCUUUAAAGCAAAAGUCAUGCAGGAACUCAUGUAGUAUAAAGCCUAACAAAAAUGACACCAGUGUAGCUUUGUGUCCACACCUCACUUACUUUUGUUUGACAGGCACAUGAGAAUUUAGCUUGUAUGAAAUGAACAGAGUUAAACAGAAAUAAACAAAUAUGAUGAUUCAGUUUUCCUGUCAGUAUCAUGUUUAAUAAUUGAUUAAACAAGUGGUCGAGAAGUGUUGCAUGAAAUAUGGUUAAUAAUUUGUUCACCUGAAUAAAAAGUGUGGUGUGAUCUCAUUGUUGGUUUGACCAGGCUCGGCUGUGUAUUGUUUUAUAACCGGGUAAUCUCCCUCUGUCUUGUUUGUGAAUCCCCUAACUUCCCCUGGGGUGUGUUGCAGUUGCACCAUUUACAGCAGCUCGGGUUUGUCGGGUUUGAUCUGAGCGGUUAAUUUCUGAGUUUCCUCAAUUCAUCAUAGUGAUAAAAAAAACAAUCAAACAGUCGUUCAGGAAAGUCCCUGUUAAUGCCUCUAAAAAGCUGAUCUGGAGUCUGUUUUAGACUUUGGAUUGCAAAACUGGGUGAGCCAAAACUGAUCCCCUGUCAGCUGAAUAAAACACCAUGACAACCCUAAUCUAUGAUCAAGUCUUUGAGCAAUACAACAGCGCUGUAGUGGUUGUGUUUGGCAUCUUUACUGGUAACCAUGUGAUUUCCUGUAAACCAAGAGCCUGGCAGGUUGGGAUGCAUGCUGCAGGGGGAGAAAUCAUUACCUUUGAGUGCCAUCUUGUGGAUUAAACCAAAAAGGGCACACAAACUAGCAAUGUUGGUGGAGGAGCUAUAAGCAGAGUUUUAUGAGGCAGUUAUUUCAGCUUCUUAAACAGUGAAAAUCUGCUGUCAGAACUCUUUAUCAAGGGUGAUAGGAAACUUUAAUAUUCUACUUAAGACAAUUACAGUUACUUAAAUGUUAUCUUUAUACAGUAGAAUCAGAAGUGACAGUAUUUUAAUCUAAGUAGAAAUAUAAGUUUGUUUUUAUUUGAAAUGCACUUAAGAUGUGAGAACUAAGGAGUACUUUCAGCCCAUAGCAGUAGGAGUAGAGGGAGUAAGAUAUGACUCACUAUUAUAUUAAGGCAUAUUUUACUGAGCUCUUUUUAAAUACAACAAACACCUAUUAAAGUGUGGGGUAAUUAUGACUAUCCAGGGGGGAGUUUUUGCAACAUUUUGUCAGUAUUUGAAUCAAAAUUUGGUUUCUGCAUAUUAAAGUCAUGAUUGGUUGUGCGGACAAGAGUGGAAAAUGUGAACUUUGUUGGUUGAAAUGAGUAAAUGUUGCUGCAAAUGAGGCAAGCAAAAUUCAAGGAUGAGUAAAAUUAAGCUUUAAAUAUAUUAGGGUGAGAAAAUGAAGCUAAUUUUAGCCUUUCAGGUCAGUGUGGCCUGAUACAUUUUGACAAGAAAGACUGCAGACAUCAUCCAUUCAGAUGGCUGUUUAUCAGUAGGCUAACUAAUGCUAAUGUAAAGUGUAGUUUGUUGAUCAAUAUGAUUUACUAAUCUGCACAUGCUGUUAUUGUUGAAAGGAACAUUUAUAGUUUAAAUAAUGUCGUCAACUUUUCUUGGGCCAGGUGUGUUUUGCAGUGACACCAUUAACUUUACUCAGAGUUAAGGUCGAGAGCAUUAUCAACAACAUGUCAGACAUUAUCUCUGUCACCAGGAAACCAUGUGACAUCCUGUAAACGCCAUCUUACUCCUCAGUCUGGUGAUCUGGCAACUGCCCGCCAAAACGCCUUUACAGAAAAAACAAUGAUGGAGCUUGAGCGCCCCCUAGUGGACACACAGAACUGAAUAAAACAUGAGGAAAAGUGGAGAAACAAAACUUAACUGGGACAUUGACGAUGUCAUCAGGGGAAAACCAGGGACUUAAGAGAGUAAAAUGCAACACCCUCUGUCUGGUGCUGCUUUUAUUCUGUGCAUGUGUAUAAAUGAGACCACCAUUAAGCUCUCUGCUGAGUUAUAGCUCAUUUUUAAUUCACAGUUUAUAGUGAGGUUUGUUUAUAUAUAUUAUAAGACUCUCAGUCUGUCUUAUGUUAUGUUAUUUAACAUUAGCGCAGAGAAACUGAUGGGGUGUGCAAACCAAGAAACUACAGCCUCAUUCGUGGUUUUUACUGGGAUCCACAAGAGAGUGUGAAGUGCAACAGUCGUGAAGCCACAGCACCACAACUUCCACAAAAUAGGCUGAUGAGCCACAGCACACGUGUACUCUCUGUCAACAAUACAGACAUGCAGAAUUGGUCUGAGGUUUCCUGUGUGUCUGUGUCUGCAGCUCUGUGCUUUUUUUUGCUGUUGUCUAGGUCAGGUCUACCACUCAAUAGAUUUUUAUUUAAUCUCAAUAAGUCUAAUGUGGUUAAAGGUUAAAUAAAAAAUAAACCAUCAAACCCUGACUAUUGCACGUACUCAGCCUUGAUUCAUGCAGUGUCAUGUAAACCACUGCUUUCAUGAUACUUUUAAAAUCUUUCUAAUGUUAUUUUGUGUUAAACAGAAUAUUGUCAAUUAUUCAGACAGGUUUCAGGUUGAAAGUUUUCAUAAAAAUUCAUAAACUUGGUGCAUUUUUGUCAUGAAUUAAAAAGAGUGAUUUAAGUUAAAAACUUAGUGUUAUAAAAGGAAAAUAACUAGGGAGGGAUCUGAAGUAAUCACAGAGAUUUAAAAAAGAGACUCCUGGUCUAUUCAGAAUCUUUUGGAGGAUUCACUUGAAGGCACAAGACUGUUUUUCAUGUUUUUAUGUUAUUAAGAGACAUGUUAACAAAAGAUAAGUAAAAUAUGUUGAGUUUUUAAAUGCACUUCUUUAGUUUUGUUUGAAAAACAGUGUUUGUAAAAACCAUGUCCUUCUCUGGUUUCUGUUCUUGAGGUCAGAUCUUAACUUUCCUCUAAAUAGUUAGUCAUUUAAAUUUAAAAACUUGGUGAAAAUGAUUACCCUCGCAUUUUAUAUAGUUCAAGUCCAUCCAGCAGCAGAAUAAGUAGCCACAUGUUAUUUGUCACCUAACUAGUUUGUAACCUUUUGAAUUAUUCCCUUUGGAAAAGCACAAAUUGAAGAAUCAGAAACCUGUAACUAAUAAUGCUUCACACUCAGAACAAUAAUGCAGAAUAGAUGUGAAUUCUUCAUCGUUUAGAUAAAAUGCAUAUAAUACUUUCAUCUCUGAACAGUCAUACUGACAGACACUAGAUGGCGACAUAGCACAACUGAUGUCAACGAACAGCGAGGUUAAAACCUGGAAAGGCCAACAGAUGGAGCCUUCAACCUUUUUAAUGAAGUGUAGUUUUUAUGUCCAUACGUUAACUUAAUUAGUAUUCAGUUCCCACAAUCUAUAUCUGUAUUCUGUACAGAUGUUCUUUUGUCAAGCUUUUUUUUAAUUGGGCGUUAAUCCCCAAUCACAAGAUCUUUAAGUAAGAGUAAUCUUAAUUCCUGGACGAGGUUCCAGAUAAUCUGCUUUCUCAGAAGCAGUAUUUGACACUAUCUGCUAAUUCCCAAUCCAAUCAACGGCAGGGAUGAUGCACCUGGCUUAUCUUUGGUCUGAAUGGCAUCCAUUCUGAAAAAAAAAGGCAGCUGUGUCUUUUAUGAGGAGUUUCUUGGCUUCUGCUUCUACAGACAUGGACUUUCGUAAAUAUAUUCCUUUCUAUUUUUACAAAGCUUGCAAAACCCCAAAGACAUAACGAUACAUGAUGAUACAAAAAGUGAUGUGCACAAUAGCUGAGAGCGAAAUUGUUCAAGCUUGAGUCAGAGUGAAAUUUCACUAAAGCCUUACUUUAGUGAUGUCCAUAAUGAAAGAAGCGUAGAGAUAAAGUCUUUGUCUUUGAAUCAUUGAGCUUAAAGAAACUACUGAAUUUUCAUGUCCUUACUUUGACUUUGUAGGAACAAUCCUUUCACUUCAGUAUCAUAUUGUCUUUUCUCUUGUAACUGCAUGAAUAAAAGAAAAACAGUCUGGACAUGAGAGACAUGUAACCAGAUACCUCUUAAGGCUGUUUUACUCAUUGUCCGGUUAAUGAGGUAAACAGGCUGUGAGAGGCGACACAACAGGAUAGCAGACCAGACUUUCACACCUGAGAAAGAUUAUUAGUGCACUGUGUACACACACGCACACAGAUUCCUCGGAUCGCAUUUUGGUUUCUUUCCUUUUCUUAUUUUCUACUCAUGUUCUGUCUACACUGCUGUUGAGGUUUCUGUUUCCAUUUCAUAAAGUACACUUCAUAUGCAGCACGGUGACUAAAUGCAACACAGCUUCACUCUUUUGAGGGAACAACAAAGGCUCAGAGACAUAUGCUGCCAAAGAGAUUACACAUAUAGGAUUAAAUGGAUGUUAAUCUCACCUCCCUUUUAAAAAUUAUCUUUAGUAAUUUUAUUUCUGCUAACAUGAAGAAUUUCCUGACUCACAGCUGGUUGCACAGUUGCUGUCCCAGUGCAAUCAAAUCAGAGACAAACAUUUACUUGAAUACCUUUCGAUAUUCUUUCCUCCAAUCUAUUGAGUUUCAGAUGGAAACCAUGCAUUUCUCCGUAUCUGGUUCUUUUUAAUGGGAGUAUCAUGAACUGUUCCUGCUCUGGUUCACGCAUUUACAUCUUAUUUUGCGUGACUCCCUAAUUAAGCUGCUGUGGUUUUAUGCUCACCCUCCAGGAAACAUGAGAUUUUGUUUUUAGUACAGAAAAACAGUAUCUGCUUAAUUAAAUUAAAACACAUUAUAUUAUCUCAUAAGACAUACUGUCUCUGUUCGAGAUGUCAUCUUCAAGAAACAACACUAACAACAAACAAGAAUAUUUCAUUUCCAGUAUAACUUUCUGUAAACUUCUGUUAAAGGGACUGCUGUUGCUAGGGAAGGUUUGCUGUAGUGAGAGGAACUAAGAGGACUGAGGCAGAGCGCUACCAAAUUUUGUCAUGGCAAAUUAACAACCAACAUCUGUGUUUUCUUACCCUUAACAUAUGCAAACAACACUGCUGUCUCAGAAAACUAGACUGUAGCUACCCGUGACGAAGUACUGAGGCAUUGUGAAGCAGGAGAGCUGAGAGAGAGAGAGAGAGAGAGAGAGAGAGAGAGAGAGAGAGAGAGAGAGAGAGAGAGAGAGAGAGAGAGCAGAUGAGUCAGAGGAGGCUGAUUCUGAUGUAAUCCACCAGUCCCUCCCUCCUGAUUC
Xyrichtys novacula (pearly razorfish) is the source of this 8252-nucleotide non-coding RNA. The record is from the annotation of a GenBank genome assembly. NCBI's taxonomy places the organism in Eukaryota, Metazoa, Chordata, Actinopteri, Labriformes, Labridae.